Molecule: ribosomal RNA, 468 nt
Filed under: uncultured bacterium
Lineage: Bacteria
Description: partial 16S ribosomal RNA
Rfam family: Bacterial small subunit ribosomal RNA
Source: RNAcentral
GACGAACGCUGGCGGCGUGCUUAACACAUGCAAGUCGAACGGAGAGGCCCUGCUUUUGUGGGGUGCUCGAGUGGCGAACGGGUGAGUAACACGUGAGUAACCUGCCCUUGACUUUGGGAUAACUUCAGGAAACUGGGGCUAAUACCGGAUAGGAGCUCCUGCUGCAUGGUGGGGGUUGGAAAGUUUCGGCGGUUGGGGAUGGACUCGCGGCUUAUCAGCUUGUUGGUGGGGUAGUGGCUUACCAAGGCUUUGACGGGUAGCCGGCCUGAGAGGGUGACCGGCCACAUUGGGACUGAGAUACGGCCCAGACUCCUACGGGAGGCAGCAGUGGGGAAUAUUGCACAAUGGGCGGAAGCCUGAUGCAGCAACGCCGCGUGCGGGAUGACGGCCUUCGGGUUGUAAACCGCUUUCGCCUGUGACGAAGCGUGAGUGACGGUAACGGGUAAAGAAGCACCGGCUAACUACGUG